GUGGGGAAUAUUGCGCAAUGGGGGAAACCCUGACGCAGCGACGCCGUGUGAGGGAAGAAGGCUUUCGGGUCGUAAACCUCUGUCAGAAAGGAAGAACCUCCCAAGUCCGAAUAGGGCUUGGGACUGACGGUACUUUCAAAGGAAGCACCGGCUAACUCCGUGCCAGCAGCCGCGGUAAUACGGAGGGUGCAAGCGUUAAUCGGAAUCACUGGGCGUAAAGCGCGCGUAGGCCGCUUUGUAAGUCGGACGUGAAAGCCCUUGGCUCAACCGGGGAAAUGCGUUCGAUACUGCGAGGCUUGAGUCCUGGAGAGGGUGGCGGAAUUCCGGGUGUAGGAGUGAAAUCCGUAGAUAUCCGGAGGAACACCGGUGGCGAAGGCGGCCACCUGGACAGGUACUGACGCUGAGGCGCGAAAGCGUGGGGAGCAAACAGGAUUAGAUACCCGGGUAGUCC
Molecule: ribosomal RNA, 451 nt
Filed under: uncultured bacterium
Lineage: Bacteria
Description: partial 16S ribosomal RNA
Rfam family: Bacterial small subunit ribosomal RNA
Source: RNAcentral